CAUGCCCAACCUUAUCAACGGGGCGCGUAAUAUUUUGCUAGCGGCAUUUGGACUAUUUUUUUUUUUUUCAGUUUUGUUUUUUGUCUUUCCACUGCAAUCAUUGCAGGUUCAAUGUACCUGAGUUAUCCACAGCUCGCGCGCAGAACAUGCAAAAUGUAUGUAAAUUAUGGCAUAAUAUGUACAUAAAGGCAGGACAGGAGGGCAGAUAGCCAGACGGUGCGAGGGGGGCAGCUGUGACGUUAAGUGUAAAAGUUACUAUAUUAACCACCUGUAGCAUUUUUUUUUUGUUCGUUCUUGUUUUCCGUUUCCCAUUUUCCUAAAGCGCGCAGAAAAACGCGCGCGAAUAACAGAAAAAAACAGAAAAGCGUGUUUAUUAUGUGUCUACAAUGUGUGUGUGUGUGUGUGUUUGUUAGCUGUCUUAUGGCGCAUAUGUGCGUUAGACUACAUAAUAUUAAGUAAAUAAAUGCGCCCCAAUAGCUUUUUGCUAGCCCCUGCAAGUGUGUGAAAUUUGCAGUGAAAAAUAAGAAUGUGACAGUCUCUUUCGUUUUUUUGAGGUUAUGUGUGCAGUUAGGGGGUGUUGUUUGCAUUUGCAUAGAUAGAACAAUGAAAUGAAUAAGACAUGAGGCAAGCAGCAAAUGUUGAAUACUUUGCGUAUGGCGUACAAAUAAUAGAUAAUAAACACAAUGAUGCAAACAGAAUGAACUCAACUGACAAUAAAAACUUGGAGAAAAAGAAAACCAUUUUAAAUGUACAAAAAAACAAAGCAUGUGUGAAAAAUACAGACGGUAAAAGAAGACAUUAUAUGGCAUAUACAUUCAAUGAAUGUUAUUUAAAACGCUUGGCAUACCCAGAGGCUGGUCUGUAAAACUAAUUCGAAGAAUAUAAAAUCUGUUGAUGAAAAUAACGAAAAGGAAGAAGAAUCAAUUUAAAGUUUCCUUUUGAAUACUAAAAGCCAGACUCAGAGUCCAGUAGAUGGUUGGUCCAAAAAUCUUGAGAGGGGUUCGUUUAAUUUUUUUUUUGGUAAGACAGAGUAUUCAGCAGUCGGAGCUAUUGAGAAUUUGGCUAUUAAUCUUAUUGAUAAAAAUAACCUUCUGUCGAUAUUGUUAUCUUAUCGAUAAAAAUACCUUACUAUCGAAACUGUUACGGCCUCUAUGCUCUCUCUAACAAUUACAUUUACCCCAUAAAGUUUUUAUAAGCAACAACAAACUAAAUCUCUUGCCUUACUUUUCUCUUCACAGGUAUGUAAUACGAACUCAGCUCGCUUUUAACUCCAGCUCUGGUCAGCUUGGCCAGCUCGCAGUUUGUGUUGAUAAUCCACGCACAAGCCAAACAUUUGCGAUGUUUCAGUAUGUACGGCGGAAGCGGAAAUAAAAAGUGCAGACUUAAACGAGCCGCAGGCAACAGAAAAGGAUAAACAAAAAAUGAACGCGAAAAGAAUUGCAAAAGCACAAGAAGAAGCACAACAACAAGGCAACCACUAGACAAAAUGUUCACACUUGCAAUUAAACAAACAAAAAGAAAACAGAAUAAUUGUGAAACAAGAAUUUAAGCACGCCGAAAACUAAAUACCCUUGAAUAUUAUGAGAUUAAGCUAUUGCAUAUGUGCGAGAAAAAUUUAUAGAGGUUUUGGUAAGGAUAUCUGGAAAAGUUCUUGGUUCUUCCUUCAAGGUAUACAGAAGAGUAGUCUGAUAUUGAUAAGAUCUAUCCGUAGCAGAAAAGACGAAUAAUUGUAUAUUGAAAAUCUCUUUGUUUAAAGAGUAGAAAAUAUGUGCAUGUUUAUGUAAAAUAUAUGCAAUAGGAAGCCGAUGUAUAUAGCCUUAAGGAUCACAGACAAAUUUCCAAUUGCUACUGAUCAAGACUAUAUAAUCCUUUAUAAGGCCGGAUAUGUCCCCUUCUUAUCGUUACACACCGCAUGGCAAAACAAAAAUGCCCUCAGCGAGGGCAUAACUAUGGCAGAUGCUGAAAAGGCUGACUUCGCUUUAUGCGCCUGAAGGGCGUUCGUCUGUUGGCAAUUGGGUCAACAGGGCCGUACAAGAGCGCCACCUAGCGGCGCUAAACGAAUUACGAAGCGCAACCAAAGUGGGCAACAAAAAUAGAAAACGCACUUGCAAUCGAGUCCAAAUGGCCGGGUCCGAGGCCUGCAUACAAAAGUGCAGUCCAAACAGUUUGCAAUUAAAAUGGGGCCAAGAAUGGAGUCGAACAAAGCCCAGUAAAUGCUGCCACUGGCAGUGGCAGUGGCAGUAGACGUGCCCGUUGCUCUAAGUUCAGGUGUCUGCAAAUGAAAUUAUAAAAAAAAAAAAACACACACAUACACACACAGCCACACAGAGCUCACUCGACUUAAAGCUUCAGCCGCGGCCCAGAAACGUGCGACCAUUCGACAAUCUGUGGUUCGGGUCGAAGUGGGGCGAUGGGCGGGGGGCGCGGCCACUCUAGCUGGUCAUGACUGUGCACAGCUAUGGCCUAUGACUACAUAUAUGUAUUAUAGCUUUCACAUUCCUUCGCCACACUUGACCAAGUUAACUGGCAGCCGCUGCUGCCGCUGCUGCUGCGCCUGCUGCUAUUUGGUCUCGGUUCGGUCUCGGUCUUUGGUUCUAUUCCCGGCUGACCACUUAGCGAACCAGCUCGCCGCCACUUUCCCAAUGGCUGUCGCCUCCACAGACACACGCUGCAGUUUAUUGGAUUCCAUUCCCUGCUUCAUGCUGUCGCACAGUUGCCUUUUUGUAUUUGCUAAACAUUUUAACAUCUCGGCGGGCCGCUCUUCAAUUCCUGCCGCGUUAAAUGAAAAACACUCUCUCGUAUGCCUAAACUUGCUUUUGUUCUGGCCAAGUUUACUGGCAACGCAACCAACUGCCACUUUUAUUUUUCCCGAACCAGUCAAGUGGGCGUGGUCGCGGUCUGUUGGGUUUUGACACUCUUUGUUUGGAUCCUUUUUGGUAUUUAGCGCGUGGCCUCAUCGAAGCGCAGACAGGCCCGAAACACCAAAUAGUCUUUUAGCGUAAUUAAACUUUGGUUUUGGCCUGGGCAUAAAAAAGCUUUUUCAUUUUUAUGGCACGGAUUUUUUGGUAAAUUGUUAGCUGGAUUUUUGUGCAUGCAGCCGUUGUUAAUGUUGCGCAGCUUAGUAAAGUGAGUUUUAUUUAACAAAAGAAAAAACGAAUUUGUAGCAGAAAAAAAGUCCUACAAAUGUAGUUUUUAUGCACCAAAUAGACAAAGCGUUCAAUUGAAUUUGUUCGAAACUGUGGAUAUAAACCUUUACAAGAGAUUCACAGAGUUGACUCGCAUUAAAAUUUGGCUUUUAUUUCAUGCUGAUAACGUGCUUGUUCUACAGAGUAAGCCAACAGAGUGCGAACAUGUUAAAUGGGAUUACUUGGUUAUGUUAAGGGUUUAACAUUAAAUUUAGUAUGUAUAAUUUAUCUAUUAUUAACUUAACAGACUAUGAACAUGUUAAGGCUAACAGAAUGAUUAAUUUAGCCAUUAUUUAUUGCUGGAGCUCAGAGCUAACAGUGUGAUAUAGUUACAUAAUAUAAGAACUAACAUAACUAGCAUAUGUAACACCCUGCUGCUAUCUGCUUAGUGCUGUUAACAUACUUAACAGAACGUGCUUAUGUUAGAGCCCUUAAGUUUGGGUUAAUCAUUUGUAAUAAAAAAUAUCAGUUGCAUACAUGUAAUAAAUGAAGAAAAUCUUGACUCAAACACCCUGCAGCGGGCUGACAAAUUACACAAUCAAAAUAUUAAUUUAACCCCAAACACAUUACAAGUAACGCCACAGUCAUUAAUAAAAGUCGCUAACACUUCAAAAUGGAUAUAAAAAAAAUUUAAAAAUAAAAAUAAUAAACAAGAAGACAAAUGAUUAGCUAUAAAUUGUGUUGUGGUGGUGGCUGCCACAAGAAGUUCAAGAAAAAUGCAAAGUCUGUGGGAAAAGCAGAGAGCGAAAGAGACAGCAACAGACAAAAGCUGAAACAAAUUGACUUUCACUUUAAUGAUGUCUUUAGCAAUGAGCACAUAAAUUAAUAAACAUUCAACAUACAAAAAAUAUAUAAAAAAAAUAAAGAAAAAGGCACGAAUUGUGGCCCGGCUGACCAAAGCGCAUUCACCAUUUCCCGUUGCCAAUGCAACCGAGUGCUAAGUGGCCUUUCGAAAGACUUUCAAAUUUAACGGCCACGAUGCAUGUGUGCAAGUAUGUGUGUGUGUGUGUGUAAUAUUAUAUAGAAAAGCAACACAAGCCAAAUAAAAGUAAUAAAUAAAAAUAUACAACAAAAAGCGUAUGCACUCGGGCCAUGACUUUCGUUGCAGUUGCAGGCAAGUCAACAUGCAACAUGCAAAUGUUGACCAGGCUGCAGCUGAGCCCGCCUCCUGCCGCCCCUCCACUCGAUGUUUCUCUCUCUCUUUCUCUCUCUCCUAUUGAGUCAUGUCGUGUCGCUCAACCAUAACGAUAAGCCCCAAACCCAAGCGGCAAGCACCAAGCCCGACCCCACCGAGUGCCGCCACAAAAGCAACCGAAAGUCAUAAAAGUCUCUCGCCUGUCAGUUCAUCAGUUGACGGUCGACCCCAAAAAUGUGGGUCAACUGGGCCGUUGGACGCGCCUUUUAUGUGUGUGGACUUCGAUUCGAGUGAAAUUUUCGCGCUUUGAUUUUGACCCAUUCAUGUAUGAGCAAUCCAGCCACGCCAUCCCCCUUUUGUUAUUGAGCUAUGCACUUGGCUCUUUGAUUGAAUAGAUUUUUGUGGCUGCUCAACAUGCAACAUGCCGCAUGCCACAUGCCACAUUCCACUUGCUACCUUAUUUGGACCCACAAGCACAUUUGAUUUACGUCUGUGUCAACAGCCACUGCGACAGCUGCUGAAAAGGCGUUCGAGCGCAAAAAACACAGAAAUAAAUAAAACAGUCCGCGAUAAAAGAUAAAUAGCUCAGCGAUUACAGCUUAAAAUAAUACCUGAGAAAAGCAACACAAGAAACAAAA
This is a non-coding RNA of Drosophila virilis, 4958 nucleotides long. The record is from RefSeq and is a predicted model, not a curated record. NCBI's taxonomy places the organism in Eukaryota, Metazoa, Arthropoda, Insecta, Diptera, Drosophilidae.